GAUGAACGCUGGCGGCGUGCCUAAUACAUGCAAGUCGAGCGAACAGACGAGGAGCUUGCUCCUCUGACGUUAGCGGCGGACGGGUGAGUAACACGUGGAUAACCUACCUAUAAGACUGGGAUAACUUCGGGAAACCGGAGCUAAUACCGGAUAAUAUAUUGAACCGCAUGGUUCAAUAGUGAAAGACGGUUUUGCUGUCACUUAUAGAUGGAUCCGCGCCGCAUUAGCUAGUUGGUAAGGUAACGGCUUACCAAGGCAACGAUGCGUAGCCGACCUGAGAGGGUGAACGGCCACACUGGAACUGAGACACGAUCCAGACUCCUACGGGAGGCAGCAGUAGGGAAUCUUCCGCAAUGGGCGAAAGCCUGACGGAGCAACGCCGCGUGAGUGAUGAAGGUCUUCGGAUCGUAAAACUCUGUUAUUAGGGAAGAACAAAUGUGUAAGUAACUAUGCACGUCUUGACGGUACCUAAUCAGAAAGCCACGGCUAACUACGUG
This 497-nucleotide ribosomal RNA is filed under the name uncultured bacterium. RNAcentral's name for it is "partial 16S ribosomal RNA". It matches the Rfam family "Bacterial small subunit ribosomal RNA", at positions 28 to 507 of the family's 1533-position model. The record is from RNAcentral.